Molecule: non-coding RNA, 73 nt
Organism: Podarcis lilfordi (Lilford's wall lizard)
Lineage: Eukaryota; Metazoa; Chordata; Lepidosauria; Squamata; Lacertidae
Source: the annotation of a GenBank genome assembly
GCUUCUUCUUCCAGUGGGCUAGAGUGUGGUGCUGAUGAUGCCAAGGGUGCAGGUUCGAUCCCUGUAGGGGACA